GGCUCGGUAGCUCAGUGGUAGAGACAGUCCUGACAGUCGUUAGGCUUUUGAAAAAACCUAACGACUGUCAGGACGUCGCAGGUUCGAAUCCUGUCCGAAGGCUA
Molecule: non-coding RNA, 104 nt
Organism: Meloidogyne enterolobii
Lineage: Eukaryota; Metazoa; Nematoda; Chromadorea; Rhabditida; Meloidogynidae
Source: the annotation of a GenBank genome assembly